RNAcentral lists this ribosomal RNA (395 nucleotides) under uncultured Methanosaeta sp. RNAcentral's name for it is "bacterial SSU rRNA". It matches the Rfam family "Archaeal small subunit ribosomal RNA", at positions 944 to 1338 of the family's 1478-position model. Lineage: Archaea; Methanobacteriati; Methanobacteriota; Methanomicrobia; Methanotrichales; Methanotrichaceae. The record is from RNAcentral.
AAUAUGAAGGCCAGGCUGAAGACUUUGCCGGAUUAGCUGAGAGGUGGUGCAUGGCCGUCGUCAGUUCGUACUGUGAAGCAUCCUGUUAAGUCAGGCAACGAGCGAGACCCACGCCCACAGUUGCCAGCGUACUCUCCGGAGUGACGGGUACACUGUGGGGACCGCCGCUGCUAAAGCGGAGGAAGGAAUGGGCAACGGUAGGUCAGUAUGCCCCGAAUAUCCCGGGCUACACGCGAGCUACAAUGGUUGGUACAAUGGGUAUCUACCCCGAAAGGGGACGGAAAUCUCCUAAAACCAAUCUUAGUUCGGAUUGAGGGCUGCAACUCGCCCUCAUGAAGCUGGAAUCCGUAGUAAUCGCGUUUCAACAGAACGCGGUGAAUACGUCCCUGCUCCUU